This 61-nucleotide small RNA is filed under the name Caenorhabditis elegans. RNAcentral's name for it is "Unclassified non-coding RNA Y37H2A.17". Lineage: Eukaryota; Metazoa; Nematoda; Chromadorea; Rhabditida; Rhabditidae. The record is from RNAcentral.
UGUAGUUUGUAGUCUAGCAGACCUACUCUCAGAAAUUUGGUCUGCUAGACUACAAACUACA